RNAcentral lists this ribosomal RNA (429 nucleotides) under Verrucomicrobiota bacterium. RNAcentral describes it as "Verrucomicrobia bacterium partial 16S ribosomal RNA". It matches the Rfam family "Bacterial small subunit ribosomal RNA", at positions 355 to 776 of the family's 1533-position model. Lineage: Bacteria; Pseudomonadati; Verrucomicrobiota. The record is from RNAcentral.
UAGGGAAUCUUCCGCAAUGGACGAAAGUCUGACGGAGCAACGCCGCGUGAGUGAAGAAGGAUUUCGGUUCGUAAAACUCUGUUGUUAGGGAAGAAAAAAUGUAUAGUAACUAUAUACAAAAGAGACGGUACCUAACCAGAAAGCCACGGCUAACUACGUGCCAGCAGCCGCGGUAAUACGUAGGUGGCAAGCGUUGUCCGGAAUUAUUGGGCGUAAAGCGCGCGCAGGUGGUUUAGAAAGUCUGAUGUGAAAGCCCACGGCUCAACCGUGGAGGGUCAUUGGAAACUAAUAAACUUGAGUGCAGGAGAGAAAAGCGGAAUUCCUAGUGUAGCGGUGAAAUGCGUAGAGAUUAGGAGGAACACCGGUGGCGAAAGCGGCUUUUUGGCCUGCAACUGACACUGAGGCGCGAAAGCGUGGGGAGCAAACAGG